CGCACGGGUGAGUAACACGUAUCCAACCUGCCGUCUACUCUUGGACAGCCUUCUGAAAGGAAGAUUAAUACAAGAUGGCAUCAUGAGUCCGCAUGUUCACAUGAUUAAAGGUAUUCCGGUAGACGAUGGGGAUGCGUUCCAUUAGAUAGUAGGCGGGGUAACGGCCCACCUAGUCUUCGAUGGAUAGGGGUUCUGAGAGGAGGUCCCCCACAUUGGAACUGAGACACGGUCCAA
This 234-nucleotide ribosomal RNA is filed under the name uncultured bacterium. Its description in RNAcentral is "partial 16S ribosomal RNA". It matches the Rfam family "Bacterial small subunit ribosomal RNA", at positions 99 to 334 of the family's 1533-position model. The record is from RNAcentral.